AUUGAACGCUAGCGGGAUGCUUUACACAUGCAAGUCGAACGGCAGCGCGGACUUCGGCCUGGCGGCGAGUGGCGAACGGGUGAGUAAUGUAUCGGAACGUGCCCAGUAGCGGGGGAUAACUACGCGAAAGCGUAGCUAAUACCGCAUACGCCCUACGGGGGAAAGCCGGGGAUCGUAAGACCUUGCACUAUUUGAGCGGCCGAUAUCGGAUUAGCUAGUUGGUGAGGUAACGGCUUACCAAGGCGACGAUCCGUAGCUGGUUUGAGAGGACGACCAGCCACACUGGGACUGAGACACGGCCCAGACUCCUACGGGAGGCAGCAGUUGGGAAUUUUGGACAAUGGGGGCAACCCUGAUCCAGCCAUCCCGCGUGUGCGAUGAAGGCCUUCGGGUUGUAAAGCACUUUUGGCAGGAAAGAAACGUCGCGGGCUAAUACCCCGUGGAACUGACGGUACCUGCAGAGUAAGCACCGGCUAACUACGUG
RNAcentral lists this ribosomal RNA (484 nucleotides) under uncultured bacterium. RNAcentral describes it as "partial 16S ribosomal RNA". It matches the Rfam family "Bacterial small subunit ribosomal RNA", at positions 30 to 507 of the family's 1533-position model. The record is from RNAcentral.